GAUGGUAGAAGCAAGAGGCCUUCUGUUGACUGUGGCAUCUGCUCUUUCGAUUUUGUCACAGACUGUCGAAUAGCUAUUGCCAGACAUCGUAAUGCUUCCACGUUUUGACUUAGGGUGAACUGUUUGUGCAAAUCCUGCAGCUCCUCCACAAGAAUGAUUGGAAUGAGCAUCAACGUCAGGAAGUGAAACAAAAUAUCGUUUGGUGUAGCUGGCUGUACCACUCUUCAUUGCAUUCUGCACUUCCCUCACUAUGGCUGCUCUUGCCUUCUUGAAGUCGGACCUUGUAGAUGGAGUAUCAUAUGUUGUCUGGAGUAGGAGACGUUUCUUUUCAG
This is a long non-coding RNA of Corticium candelabrum, 332 nucleotides long. RefSeq lists it as uncharacterized. The record is from RefSeq and is a predicted model, not a curated record. The transcript is spliced from 3 exons. Lineage: Eukaryota; Metazoa; Porifera; Homoscleromorpha; Homosclerophorida; Plakinidae.